Molecule: long non-coding RNA, 619 nt
Filed under: Pan troglodytes (chimpanzee)
Lineage: Eukaryota; Metazoa; Chordata; Mammalia; Primates; Hominidae
Description: long non-coding RNA NONPTRT004821
Source: RNAcentral
AUGGGCUGGCCAGAGGACACAUAGCUCUAAGAACAUCGAGCAUCUAUCUUGAAGGCACACCUCUAACAGAGUCUGUCUGAGAGUUCCAUGCAUGGUGGCACAUUAAGCUGGUCAGUCUUCUGAAAGCAAUUGAUUCACAUGGAAAAGGACUCAGAAAUGAUCCUCUCCGAGUAUGAUCAAAAAACCCAGCUCCUGGAUAUUAUCCAAAAAUGCAGGAAAACAUCCACAUGAAAGGAAUAUUUAUAGAGGCAUUAUCUACGAUAGGCCAAAACUGGAAACCACGGAAGUGUCCAAUAAUGGAAGAAUUAUUAGCAGAGGACAUGCCAGCAGCCAGGGCGUGAGGCAGCUGGUAAGGGGGACUUGCCCAGGCCCAGCCCCGACUGACCACACUGUUUCCUUCCUGAAGGGCCUCAUCCCAGUUCUGUGGGCAGAUCCCAAACUGCUUCUAGAAGACAACUUUGGCCUCGACAGCCAUCCUUCUGGAAAGGGAGAGUGGGCCAGGCUCUCAUUUUCAUAAUAAAAUAGCAGCUUUGCCCUUCACAUGCUUAGCACCCAAAACAAAUAUUCAGGUUGGUGCAAAAUUCCCAUUACAUUUAAUGGCAAAACCCGCGAUUACUUU